Molecule: ribosomal RNA, 200 nt
Filed under: uncultured Photobacterium sp.
Lineage: Bacteria; Pseudomonadati; Pseudomonadota; Gammaproteobacteria; Vibrionales; Vibrionaceae
Description: partial 16S ribosomal RNA
Rfam family: Bacterial small subunit ribosomal RNA
Source: RNAcentral
ACUCCUACGGGAGGCAGCAGUGGGGAAUAUUGCACAAUGGGGGAAACCCUGAUGCAGCCAUGCCGCGUGUGUGAAGAAGGCCUUCGGGUUGUAAAGCACUUUCAGCGAGGAGGAAAGGUAGUGUAGUUAAUAGCUGCAUACCUUGACGUUACCUACAGAAGAAGGCACGGCUAACUCCGUGCCAGCAGCCGCGGUAAUAC